UACGAAGGGGGCUAGCGUUGCUCGGAAUCACUGGGCGUAAAGGGUGCGUAGGCGGGUCUUUAAGUCAGGGGUGAAAUCCUGGAGCUCAACUCCAGAACUGCCUUUGAUACUGAGGAUCUUGAGUUCGGGAGAGGUGAGUGGAACUGCGAGUGUAGAGGUGAAAUUCGUAGAUAUUCGCAAGAACACCAGUGGCGAAGGCGGCUCACUGGCCCGAUACUGACGCUGAGGCACGAAAAGCGUGGGGAGCAAACAGGG
Molecule: ribosomal RNA, 255 nt
Filed under: uncultured bacterium
Lineage: Bacteria
Description: partial 16S ribosomal RNA
Rfam family: Bacterial small subunit ribosomal RNA
Source: RNAcentral